GGUUCUAUGGUGUAAUGGUUAGCACUCAGGACUUGAAUCCUGCGAUCCGAGUUCAAAUCUCGGUAGGACCU
Molecule: transfer RNA, 71 nt
Filed under: Dallia pectoralis (Alaska blackfish)
Lineage: Eukaryota; Metazoa; Chordata; Actinopteri; Esociformes; Umbridae
Description: tRNA-OTHER
Rfam family: tRNA
About the family: Transfer RNA (tRNA) molecules are approximately 80 nucleotides in length. Their secondary structure includes four short double-helical elements and three loops (D, anti-codon, and T loops). Further hydrogen bonds mediate the characteristic L-shaped molecular structure. tRNAs have two regions of fundamental functional importance: the anti-codon, which is responsible for specific mRNA codon recognition, and the 3' end, to which the tRNAs corresponding amino acid is attached (by aminoacyl-tRNA synthetases). tRNAs cope with the degeneracy of the genetic code in two manners: having more than one tRNA (with a specific anti-codon) for a particular amino acid; and 'wobble' base-pairing, i.e. permitting non-standard base-pairing at the 3rd anti-codon position.
Source: RNAcentral